AUGAGGCUGAAUCUGAAAAUGUUAAUGUGGAAGUUGAGUCAGGGAUAUAUCAAUUCUAAAAGUGGAAUGGACUGAAUCAAAUCAAGAAAGCAGUGAUAGCUCUCAAGAGGAUGUUAUUCCUGAUGUGGAUGACUCUGAGGUUGAUAAAGAAUUGAGAUCUCUUAGAAAUGAAAGGAGAAACAAAGUGAAAAAAAAAUCUAAUCAAACUGAGAAAAUAAAGCUUGGAACAACUGGUAUUGAUAGAGGCUUUGAAGAUAUAGGAAGGAAUAAGGCUGCUAGAUAUACUGGAAGAUUAGGGGGUGAUGAGCAAUAUAUAGAUAGCUCAGAAUUGGAAAGUGAAGACAACAGGGAUGAAUUGGAUCCAGAAUUUGUGGAGGGUGUUGAUUUACCAAGAAGAAGAAAAAAUAAAAAAGUAAGAUUUGAUCCUGAUUGUGUUCUAGGAAUUUUUGAGCUUGAUAUGAUAUUUGAAGGUGUUGAACAAUUUAAAAAAAUUGUUGCAGACUAUUCUUAUGAAUAUAAAACUAGGUUAAAGUUGAAGCCUAAUGACAAAAAAAGAGUUAGAGCUAGAUGUUGUUUGCUAGUAUAGAUAAGGAUUCUGGUGAUUUUAUUGUCAAAAAUUAUUAUCCUAUGUAUGUAUGUCAUCAAUCAACCAAGAACAAGUUGUGUACAUCUAAAUUUAUUGCAGAAAAGUUCAAGGAUGAAAUUAUAUGUCAACCAUAUAUAAGAUUUUGAAAAAUUCAGGAAUUGGUGAGAAAAAAAUUUAGGUUGUAUGCUGGAAGAACUAUUUGUCAUAGGGCAAAAAAGAGGAUUAUCAAAAAGUUCAUAGGUGAUUAGAAGAUGAAAUUUUCAAGAUUGGGUGAUUAUGCAGACAUGAUUAAACAUACUAAUUCUUGUACUUCCUGUUGGGUAAGGACAGAUAGAGAGUCUCAGCCAGGAAAAACUUUGUUUGUUUACUUCUGUGUUUGCUUUGAUGCAUUGAAGAGGGGUUGGUUGGAAGGAUGAAGAAAAGUUAUUGGUUAUGAUGGAUGCUUUAUAAAGGGUUCUUUCAAGGGAGAAUUGUUGAUUGUUGUUGGUAAAAAUAAAAAUCAACAGAUGUUUCCAAUCGCAUGGGAUGUUGUUGACACAGAGACAAAACACAGUUGGAGUUUUUUCUCAAGUACUUGAUAGAAGAUUUGAACUUAGGCACAGGACAUGGACUGAUUGUUAUGUCAGAUAUGCAGAAGGUUAGAUAAUUUUUCUAUUGUAGCUUGAUCUUUUAUUUUUUUAUUUUCUUGUGUUGCUAAUACGUUUUAAUGUUUGUGCUACAACUGUUUACAUAGGGCCUUGUACCAGCUUUAUGUGAGUUGCUACCAGAUAGUGAGUAGAGAAGGUGUGCUAGACAUAUCUGGUUCAACUGAAAUAAAUUAUGGAGUGGUGAAGAAAGAAGAAAACAAAUCUGGAGAUGUGCUAAGUCAAGUUUUGAAGUGCAAUUUGAAGAUGAGAUGGAUAAACUCAACAAAUUAGGUAAUAAAAUUUGUGAGGACUUGUUGCAUUAUGAAAAAAACUACUUCGUGCAAAGCAUAUUAUAAAGAGCAUUCUAAGUGUGACAUUGUUAAAAACAAUAUGUGUGAAACUUUUAAUUCUUUGAUACUAGCUGCUAGACAUAAGGCUAUCAUAAUUAUGUUAGAGGAGAUUAGGCACAAAAUAAUGGAUAGAAAUAUUGCAAUGAGACAAUUUGCUAAAACUUGGAUCGCAGAUUUCUCUCCUAUGGCUAGAUUAGUACUUGAAGAGAACAAAGAUCUUGCUAGAUUUUUUGAAGUUAGACUCAAUGGUGAUAUUGGGUAUGAAACCUUAGAUGGUCAGUACAGGCAUAUUGUUGAUAUAAGAAAGAAGACAUGUACAAGUAGAACAUGGCAAUUGAGGGGCAUACCAUGUCAACAUGUUGUGCUUGUAUAUCAGCACAUAGGCAUAAAACCUGAACAUGAAGUGGUACAUUGAUAGGAAAGAGACUUUUUUGAAGGCUUAUAACCAUUUUCUACAGCCAAUACCAAACAUGAAAAUGUGGCCUCACACUAGUGGUGUAGUGAUAGAACCUCCUGAACCAAAAGUCAUGUCUGAUAGGCCACAAAAGUGCAGAAGAAAGGCAAAGAAUGAGCCUAGGAAAAAGUAUGAAAAGUUGUCCAAAAGAGGAGUAAAAAUGACCUGCUCCCUGUGUCAUCAAGUAGGCCACAACAAAAAAGCUUGUCCAAUAUCGGUAAGUUAUUAUUCUCUUCUAAUACAUCUAUAAUAAGCUUCAAUUAUUUACAAUAAUCAAUUAUUAUUACUGUAUUAAUAGGCUGGGAUGGACAACCUGGAGGCUACCCAAACAGGCAACCAAGCUCAAGCCAGCACCAAUGUUUAGCCAACCAUCAAGCUCAAGCCAGCCACCAUUGUUUAGCCAACCAUCAAGCUCAAGCCAGCCACUACUUUUUAGUAGACCAUCAAGCUCAAGUCAUCCACCAGUGUUUAUCCAACCAUCAAGCUCAAGCAAGCCACCACUUUUUAGUAGACCAUCAAGCUCAAGUCAGCCACCAGUAUUCAAUCAUCAAGGCAGUUUUAUAUGUGUUUGAUUCUUCAGUUGUUAGAAGAAAGCAACAACCUGCUAAAAGCAGAGGCACAUGAAGAGGCACUGGGAGAAGCAUUGGCAGAGGAACUGAAAGAGGCACUGAUAGAGGCACUGGGAGAGGUACUGGCAGAGGAACUGGAAGAGGCACUGGUAGAGGGAAUGGAGGUGUAUCAAGUUAGCAACCUGAUCAACCAAGGGUUGUAGAAGCUUCAAUAUCAACAGGAAGAUAAAAGAGGACCAAGACUAUAGGAUUUGGCAUCUAUACAAAUGCAAGUGGUAGUCAAACCUUUAAUCCUGGUACUUCAGGAGAAAGAGCUAUCAAUCUGAGAGGUUAUAAGGAUACAUCUCCAAUAAAUAUUGAUAUUGAUUAUAAGCCUCGAGAACUCAAGUGGAAUGUUAAAGAUGUUGUCACAGGUUCACAGUUGCAACGAAUCACUCAGUCAAGAAAAAACAAACGUGGAACAUCUAGUGCACCAAAGAAUGCCUAAUUUUUGUAGAAAAGUCAUUUUUUGGUUGUGUAAUCAGCAGCAGAAGCUUGUAUUGACUGCUUUGAAAUGUCACUUCCUGGUUGUGUAAUAAGCACCAAAACUUGUAUUGA
Molecule: long non-coding RNA, 3182 nt
Organism: Solanum lycopersicum (tomato)
Lineage: Eukaryota; Viridiplantae; Streptophyta; Magnoliopsida; Solanales; Solanaceae
Source: RefSeq, a predicted model, not a curated record